UGUGAUGUCACUAAUGCUACAGUCAAACUACAUCCUUCCAAUAUAAGCAAGGUAUUGAUAUUUAUCAUUGUUCAUAUAAGAUAUAUCUGAUAAAGUUUGUAUUGUAUAUUUAUUGACUUGGUAUGAGUGGAAUAGUUUUAUUGUCCCCAAGAGGUGCAACUUUUUAUCUGAGGUGUUUUUAUGCUGAGGGCAAUAGCUUUCUCCUAGGGGACAAUUAACUUACUUUUUCCUGAGUAUCCAGUCAGUAAGUGUUUUAAUAUACCAAAAGACAACAGACAAUUAAUGGCUGUGAUAAAUCAACUAUUGUAAUAUAUAUAUAAAAAGCACUAACCAAACCAUAAUGUUUACUUCAUAAAUAUUCUGAAAUGCUUAGUCAAAGUCUUGCACUGAUGUCAAUCCUAGAUAUAGUAGGUGAAAGGCAAUGUCGUACUAUUUUCAAAAUCCUCCAAUCUUGUAGCUGCAUUUGAAAUUAUGUAAAAUAUAAUGAUGCUUGUGAUGAAAUAGUUUCAUAGAGGUCUUAUAGUGGGAAGAGUUCAAUGUUUGAAAGAAUAGUCAAAAUAUUGUGUACUUAUUUCAUAUAGAAAAUGAUAACUGGGGUAUAAUAAAGUUUGUUAUUUACACUGAAAUGUUAUCAAAGUCAACCUUGAUUGUUCUAUAAUGAUUGAAGAUUCAGUUUUCUGAUGCUCAUGAUACAGGUGAUUUUUAAACAGUGUCCUAUGUUUAUUUUGUUGGGAUUAUUUUAAAAUGGACUGAAAUAAAAAGAAUAAUCAAAGAUACCAUGGUUAUAAUUCUAUAUGCCAGUCCACAUUUUGUAUAUAAAAGACUUAUCAAUGAAGUUGAAUUUAAAAAAUGUUAAAAGCUUUUAUAAUCUCACAAAAUUAGUUUGUUAGGAAUGUAUGUGGAAAUUAUGUAAGCAUCAACAAACAUUCCUACAGAAGGCAUAAAAAAUAGCAAUAGUAAAAAAAAAGUAUACCAAUUUUUUAAAUGUUAAACUCAGAUCACAUUGAUACCGUAGGUGGAAAUGAAUAAACUCAAAAUAAAUCCAGUUGUCAUUUAUAUAAUAAUUGGCAAUAGAUAACAGUCAGUAAAAUGAUUUGUUUUUCAGCUAAAUACCUUUUUACAGUUGACAUUAAUAGCAUCCUCUCUGGCAGCUCCAGUGUUUGGGUUUGUGGAUCAUAUAGCACUACAGACUUUGUGGUAAUUAGUUCUAUUUAGAUUUACCUACUGAAAAAUAUACCUUUAUAAGAAUAAGGAGAUGUGGUGUGAUUGGUAAUGAGAUAACUAUUUACCAAAUGAAUGUAAUUGAUGGCAUGCUUUAUUAUCAGACUCCCCUGAAAGUUUUCACAUGCUGCAGUUUGUAUUGGUUUUGUGCAUAAUCUUUUAAAAUUCAGAACUCUUUAUAAAAAAAAUGAAAUUGUGUUUACAUUGGUAAGUGAAAAUGUUAAAAAUACUAAAUAAGAAGAAAAAAGACAUAUUUGGAAAGUGAAGGGAAAGAUACUGAAGGACAUUCAAACUCAUAAGCAGAACAUAAACUGACUAUGCCUUGGCUUUGAAAGACAAAGACUAUUCAGAAAAACAUCAGUACACUAAACAAAACAUAGGUCCUCAAUUUGGAUCAAUAAAAAAAACGGGCAUACAAUUAAGAAUAUAAACUCAUUGAUUUAAACAAUUUCAUUUAAAUUAGUCUUAAUAUCCCCAUAGACCAGUAUGGAUCAUUAUUUUUUUCAAUCUGUGCAUCUAUCUGUUAGUUUGCAAUUUCAUCUCUUUAUCAGGUUUGAAUUUUAUUUAAAGUAAAGUAAGAAUAUGGAUCUGGAUCAUUAUGUAGUUUACCAUGAGGUUGAAUCACAGCAAUUUAAAUUUAGUACAUAUGUUGUUUUUUUUGGGGGGGAAAGGGGGGGGGGGCUCGUUGCCCAAGUGAUCUAAGUAGUUCACCUUCUCUAUAGCUAGAAAGGUUGUUAAUUUGAACCUCCAAAUGAUAAUUGACUAGAAUUGCCAAUUUUGCUUGCUGAAUGUCAUGGUUUUUGCCAUUUAGGUAUAUUCAAGGUUAUUACACCACUAUGAAUAGGUCCCCAUGACACAUUAUAUAGCCAGGAUAAUAUCAAACAUUACCAAUAAAAUACUUUAAGAAUUGGAUUUUGACUACUGACUCUUGUUUUUGAAAAAAAUAUCCCUAAUUUCAAAUAUUUACAAGAAAUUUAAAGGCUUGAUUUGUUUCAAUGAGAGAGUGCAGUGUUAGAUACCACCUUAAUGCAUAGAAACUGUGUAAAGUAUUUAUCCCCCUUGUCUAGUAUUAUUUUUGUUUUGCAGGUAUUUGACAGGAACAACAACAAUUGCCUCAGGUGUUGGUUACUAUAGAAACAGACAUCAAAGUGUAGAAAUAUUACAGGAUAAAAUGAAGCAUUGAUUGGAUUUUAUGAUUUACUGAUAGAUGUGUGUUAAUGAUAGAAAACAGACAUAACUGUGGAAGAAGGAUUGUUUUCAUACCAUUCAAUUGGAGGUUAUUA
This 2504-nucleotide long non-coding RNA is filed under the name Mytilus galloprovincialis (Mediterranean mussel). The record is from RNAcentral. Lineage: Eukaryota; Metazoa; Mollusca; Bivalvia; Mytilida; Mytilidae.